UCCUGGCCGUAAACGAUGCAUACUAGGUGAUGGUACGGCCAUGAGCCGUGUCAGUGCCGUAGGGAAACCGUUAAGUGUGCCGCCUGGGAAGUACGGUCGCAAGGCUAAAACUUAAAGGAAUUGGCGGGGGAGCACCACAAGGGGUGAAGCCUGCGGUUCAAUUGGACUCAACGCCGGGAAACUUACCAGGGGAGACAGCAGAAUGCCGGUCAGGUUGACGACCUUACCUAACGAGCUGAGAGGAGGUGCAUGGCCGUCGCCAGUUCGUGCUGUGAGGUAUCCUGUUAAGUCAGGCAACGA
RNAcentral lists this ribosomal RNA (300 nucleotides) under uncultured bacterium. RNAcentral describes it as "bacterial SSU rRNA". It matches the Rfam family "Archaeal small subunit ribosomal RNA", at positions 745 to 1044 of the family's 1478-position model. The record is from RNAcentral.